GUGCUCAGGGUCGCUCUAAAUAUAGCGGUAGCCCUGCUGUUCGACGCUCGCAUAAUUCGACCCAUAGGUAAUUGUAAACAUUUUAUAUGGUUGUAAUCAGCAAUUAGUGUGAAGUUUGGUGAUGAAAAAAAACCAAAAGACAAUAAAACAAUUGGUAUUAUUGAAUUAUUUUGUUUUAAAAACCAGAAAAUGCUUUGGUUUUUAAUUCUACAUCUGAAAUUGUGAUCGGCAUAUGAACUUCAUUUAUGCACAUAUUUUAAUAAGAAGACGUGCAUUUUAACUAAUAUAUUAAAUUAUAUAACUAGUGCAGCUCCUUUAGCAAAAAUAUCAACAGAAACUUACUAAUAAUUAUUCAUUUUACAUGCAAGAAUCAUCGAGAUCGGCAUCCCACCAAUGUCGUCCUGUACUCGAGCGAUCGAGUCUCGACUGAUUUAUAUCAUUAUGAUUAUGAUAACAAUACCUUGAAAGUAAGAUAGUGGUUUAAAAAGAAAAAGUAAUUGUUUACACCUGCACGUUAAUCCAAGUUUAAGGCGUCUAGCUGUGCCUUGUUCACACCUGUUGUCAUGUGAUUAAAAUAUAAAAGAUGACUUAGGAAUUGUUAUGGAGAUAACACUAUUGUAAAUAUGCUUUGAAUAAACAGCCAUUGUUUUCAA
This is a long non-coding RNA of Ostrea edulis (European flat oyster), 653 nucleotides long. RefSeq lists it as uncharacterized. Lineage: Eukaryota; Metazoa; Mollusca; Bivalvia; Ostreida; Ostreidae. The record is from RefSeq and is a predicted model, not a curated record. The transcript has 2 exons.